Molecule: long non-coding RNA, 667 nt
Filed under: Physcomitrium patens
Lineage: Eukaryota; Viridiplantae; Streptophyta; Bryopsida; Funariales; Funariaceae
Description: long non-coding RNA (PPAT_LNC006585)
Source: RNAcentral
GCUUGAUCUUCAAGUCCUUCAAUACCAUGCCAAAUUUCACCUUGAUCCAACUGACAAAUCUCUAGAUAAUAUAGAAAUCCUACCCAAUGUCAAACUUCCAACUUUUAAACCCUCUUGUGCUAAAAACCAGAUAUUUCUAAACCACACUAUUAAAUUAUUAUAAAAUUUGAUAUACAUUUAGCAUAUCUAAUAAUCCAAAUAGUUUCAAAUUUUUAACUGUAGAUGUUACACCAAUUGCAUGAACUAGCUGAAAUUACUAGCCUUAAUUAUAUUAUAUAAAACCCAAAUCACCAAUACAAAUCCUAACUUUUAACAAUAAUUUCUAAAUCUUCAAAAAUCCUUCAAAAACAAUCUUUAUGUUUUAGGAAAGAAAUUUAAGCUAGCUCUCAAAUCCUAUCCUUUGAUCUUCAAAUGAAUCCCUAUUUUGUCCUAGGCUAUCAUUUUAGUGGCGAGAGGUCUAAUUUCGACCCUGUCUCACAAAUGGUUGAUCCCUGGAUAUCAAUCUAAUCUAUCCUAAGGAUUUUUUAGUCCAACCCUACUCUCAACUUAAUCCUAGUACCAACUAUUUUAAUUAUUUACCUCUUCUAAUCUGAUUUUAUCAAUUUAUGGUCUUUCUAAGGUAGUAGAAGAGUCUCUACAACCUAGAAGGUAAAAUUACUAACUAACC